This 330-nucleotide ribosomal RNA is filed under the name uncultured Actinomycetes bacterium. Its description in RNAcentral is "bacterial SSU rRNA". It matches the Rfam family "Bacterial small subunit ribosomal RNA", at positions 28 to 351 of the family's 1533-position model. The record is from RNAcentral. Lineage: Bacteria; Bacillati; Actinomycetota; Actinomycetes.
GACGAACGCUGGCGGCGUGCUUAACACAUGCAAGUGGAGCGACGAACCAGGGCUUGCCCUGGGGCAAAGCCGCGAACGGGUGAGUAACACGUGGGUAACCUGCCCUGAUGAUUGGGACAACCCGGGGAAACUCGGGCUAAUACCAAAUGUGCUCUCCGGCUCCAAGGCCGGUGAGGAAAGGUAGCUUCGGCUUCCGCAUCAGGAUGGGCCCGCGGCCCAUUAGCUUGUUGGUGGGGUAACGGCCUACCAAGGCUCCGAUGGGUAGCUGGUCUGAGAGGACGAUCAGCCACACUGGGACUGAGACACGGCCCAGACUCCUACGGGUGGCAG